Long non-coding RNA from Mustela lutreola (European mink), 560 nucleotides. RefSeq lists it as uncharacterized. NCBI's taxonomy places the organism in Eukaryota, Metazoa, Chordata, Mammalia, Carnivora, Mustelidae. The transcript is spliced from 4 exons. The record is from RefSeq and is a predicted model, not a curated record.
GAUCAUCCUGCAUGUCAAGGAGGCGGGGAGCCGAAGCUCGGCAGAGACCGGGGGCACAGGGCAGCCACAGAGCCACGGCAGCUAAGGGUAUCAGAAUAUCUACUGCUGGCCAACAGCAACACCAGCACUUUCACCACAGUGGAGAUGGGUGCCAUGUUGAGGCAAUUCACAGCCACUUAGCUGGACCCAGUGUCAGCGUACAUCUUCAGACUGAUGACCAAGAUGAGGCAGGGCUGAGGAACUCCUAGAGGCCACUAUCAUCACCACUGAGAAGUGAGGUGGUGCUUCGAGGCUAAGGUGACUUGGCCUCCUUGGCAACAUCCAAUGUGUCUGGCCUCUGUCUCUUCAGUGCAGAUUCAAGUGCAACAUGUACAGGAGUGUGACCCCUGUCGUCUCCAUGGUGUAUGGCAUGUAAGCAGUCCAGGCCCUGGGAUCCAGCCUAAGUAGAACUCCCUGCUCAGGGGAGGAGAGCCUGCUUCUCUUGCUGCCUCAGCCUGCUGCUCUGCCUACUUGUGAGCUCUAGGUCUCUGGCAAAGAAGUGAGUACAAUUCUUACAUGAU